CCUUGACUCCCUUAUAGAGCUAUUUCAUCCUUCAUCAGUCUGUUGCCUCAGAAUCGUUGUCUGUUGACACAUUCAGCAAUAAGAAUGAUGUCUACGUGGCCAUUUCUGCUCCCAGCACAGAGAGCUGUAUGAUUUUCCAGUGGGACCACAUAGAAAUGAACUUCAGGACUUAUGAUAACAUCACAGGUCAGUCCAUUGUGGGGUGCAAAUCUGUUAUCAUCGAAAAUGAGGUGUUUGUCAUUGUGGCUCAGCUGUUUGGUGGUUCCCACAUUUACAAGUUUGAUGACGACCAAAGCAGGUUCAAAGAGAAAGGACCU
Long non-coding RNA from Oreochromis niloticus (Nile tilapia), 317 nucleotides. RefSeq lists it as uncharacterized. NCBI's taxonomy places the organism in Eukaryota, Metazoa, Chordata, Actinopteri, Cichliformes, Cichlidae. The record is from RefSeq and is a predicted model, not a curated record. The transcript is spliced from 3 exons.